AACUGGUGCAGAGCAGAACAAUGUUUUCUUGAGGGAAAAGUUUCUAUUGCCACAGAAAGACAGUACAUGAAAUACCAAUGGCACGAGAAGCCUUCCCUCCCAGGACUGGGUGACAGAACACUUUUUCAAAGAUAAAACAUAAUUCUGACCAGA
Molecule: long non-coding RNA, 153 nt
Organism: Oxyura jamaicensis (ruddy duck)
Lineage: Eukaryota; Metazoa; Chordata; Aves; Anseriformes; Anatidae
Exons: 3
Source: RefSeq, a predicted model, not a curated record